CAAGGUUGCUAUUGGAAACACUUUUUAAAUAUCUCAUGUGUCACAUCACAAUCAGCAUCAUAAUCUGGUCAGGUGGAUUGAUUUCAGAAGGCAGCAGAGGGCAUUGCUUACAGGGGUCGUAGACAUUCAGAUCAUGGCAGGACUGUCAUAGAAGUUACUUUGUGAAGACACAAAGAACAAUGUGAUUGGAGAGAUCAGUCUUCAAUUAGCUGUAUUUUCUAGAAGGCUACCUUUACUUAGCCUCGCAACAUGGGCCGUAGCUUUGGCACUAAAUCUGCACAAACACCUGGCUUAAGUGUUAUGACGGACUGACUAUUCAACCAAACCAUACAAAUGACCAAUUCCGUACAAAAGCGUGAACUUCAGUGUUGAACUGAAUCAACCAACCUCCUCAAUCCAAAUGGAGGACAUGUAGAAAUAAAAACAAAUGACUGAGAAGCCAACUUGCUCAAGGUUGACACCCAUGCCCAGGAUAUCUUUAAGGAAGACACAAAUAUGACCAAUAAUCUCCAUCUAGAGGCGAGGAUAACAAAGGAAGCUGAGGAAGUCUGUUCUGGAGGCACCAUGACAAAGCACCAGAGAGAAAGCAGUCACGUGUGGGGAGAUGAGCAGAGACACCACUUCUCAAGCACCUGAUUAUUCUUUCUCAGUAUUUAGAAGCAAAAAUUAUCCUUAAGAAAAACAACUGCAAACGCAACACAGGCUACACAGAUGAGAAAAUGGGAUUUCAAGAGAGAAGGCUGAAAAGGAAGGUGACUGGAAUAUUAAGAACUGUGAGAUAUUCUGAGGAAACUCUAAUUUGUAAAUUGGUAGAAAUGCCAGUAAUUUGUUGGGAAUUGAAGACCCUCUGUAUUCAAGAGUGAAGCUUGGCAGCUGUGCACUGUUGUUUUAUAAAUCAAUAUUACAUCUGAAGGUGGUAUUUGAA
Macaca mulatta (Rhesus monkey) is the source of this 925-nucleotide non-coding RNA. The record is from RefSeq and is a predicted model, not a curated record. Lineage: Eukaryota; Metazoa; Chordata; Mammalia; Primates; Cercopithecidae.